GUAGAUAGCUCAGUCAGUAGAGCACGAGACUCUUUAAUCUCAGGCUCAUGGGUUCAAGCCCCGUGUUGGGUGAAACA
Molecule: transfer RNA, 77 nt
Filed under: Podarcis lilfordi (Lilford's wall lizard)
Lineage: Eukaryota; Metazoa; Chordata; Lepidosauria; Squamata; Lacertidae
Description: tRNA.Undet
Source: RNAcentral